Molecule: ribosomal RNA, 253 nt
Filed under: uncultured bacterium
Lineage: Bacteria
Description: partial 16S ribosomal RNA
Rfam family: Bacterial small subunit ribosomal RNA
Source: RNAcentral
UACGGAGAGUGCAAGCAUUAAUCGGAAUUAUUGGGCGUAAAGGGCGCGUAGGCGGAUUGUUAAGUCAGAUGUGAAAUUCCGAGGCUCAACCUCGGAGCUGCAUUUGAAACUGGCAGUCUAGAGGACUGACGGAGAAAACGGAAUUCCACGUGUAGCGGUGAAAUGCGUAGAUAUGUGGAAGAACACCUGUGGCGAAAGCGGUUUUCUAGUUAGUAACUGACGCUGAGGCGCGAGAGCAAGGGGAGCAAACAGG